Molecule: transfer RNA, 82 nt
Filed under: Nephila pilipes (giant wood spider)
Lineage: Eukaryota; Metazoa; Arthropoda; Arachnida; Araneae; Nephilidae
Description: tRNA-Asn
Rfam family: tRNA
About the family: Transfer RNA (tRNA) molecules are approximately 80 nucleotides in length.
Source: RNAcentral
CCCAGGAUGGCCAGUGGUUACGGCAUCAGACUGUUGAUCAAGAACUGUUUCGCAAUCGCAGGUUCGAAUCCUGCUCCUGGGA